AGGACGAACGCUGGCGGCGUGCUUAACACAUGCAAGUUGAACGGUAUGACAUGGAAGCUUGCUGAAGUGUCAUAUAGUAGCGGACGGGUGAGUAAUGCAUGAGAAGCUGCCAUUGGGAGGGGGACAACAGUUGGAAACGGCUGCUAAUACCCCGUAUGCCGGAAGGUGAAAGGGAGCGAUCCGCCCGAUGAGGUGCUCAUGUCCUAUCAGCUGGUUGGUGGGGUAACGGCCUACCAAGGCGACGACGGGUAGCCGGCCUGAGAGGGUGAACGGCCACACUGGAACUGAGAUACGGUCCAGACUCCUACGGGAGGCAGCAGUGGGGAAUAUUGGGCAAUGGGGGGCAACCCUGACCCAGCGACGCCGCGUGGGGGAAGACGGCCUUCGGGUUGUAAACCUCUUUUGUACGGGAAGAAGGAAGUGACGGUACUGUACGAAUAAGUCCCGGCUAACUACGUGCCAGCAGCAGC
RNAcentral lists this ribosomal RNA (470 nucleotides) under uncultured bacterium. RNAcentral describes it as "bacterial SSU rRNA". It matches the Rfam family "Bacterial small subunit ribosomal RNA", at positions 26 to 518 of the family's 1533-position model. The record is from RNAcentral.